UCGCAUUGUGCGCCCUGCCGCCGAUCGCCGAGUCGAGGUGGGCCGGCUUGGGGUAGGCCUUGACGCAACCGCGCACCCAUUUGGCCUCGGGCGCCGCGUGGUCACCGACGGCUUGUGGGGCGUCGCGCUUUUCCUUUUCCGCAUGCGCGCCAUUGGCCUUGUAUUUGUCCUCGUCUUCGUCCUCGUCCUUUUCGGGUACCCAUCGCCUCUUUUUCUCCUUGGCGGCGAGCGCGUGGUGUCUGUCCUCGAUGGGGUCGGUGAUGAAGAGCAGGCACCCGCGGCCCACGACUGCGCUGACGU
RNAcentral lists this long non-coding RNA (300 nucleotides) under Pandoravirus neocaledonia. RNAcentral's name for it is "hypothetical ncRNA". The record is from RNAcentral.